Molecule: long non-coding RNA, 571 nt
Organism: Sapajus apella (tufted capuchin)
Lineage: Eukaryota; Metazoa; Chordata; Mammalia; Primates; Cebidae
Exons: 3
Source: RefSeq, a predicted model, not a curated record
GAGCCCCCAGCGCCCCCGGCUCCAGGCUUCUGCUGCCACCCUCCCUCCUGGACGGGCCUGCUCUCCCUGCUCCCACACCUGUCUCAAAGACCAGCUUCAAGACCAUGUGGGGGCCCUGCCCAGCCCCCGAGGGGACAGCAAAGAGCCCUGUCCCCAGGCUGGCAUCCCACACAUGCAGCCCAUGCUGGAGAGCCCCUCUCUGCAUCCACAGAAUGGGGAGAGUAGGUGACUGGGACACCCACAGAGCUACCACGUCUAGAAGGACUGGUGGGGUGGGGUCUGGGUGAUGCCAGUUCCAGCUUGUCAGUGUGCCUGAAGCUCAUGAACCACUGAGUAAGUGAACAAAAAUCUUCCAGGCGCUGGAACAGCUCCCGGCACUGAGCGCUGUUGGCGGUGACCAGAAUUGUCGUGGUUAUUAAUGCUGUUGUAUGGUGACAACUCUUCAAAUAUGAUAGGCCAGGCAGGGAGGAGAAGGUCACAAGAAGGUCAUGCUCCGUCGGAGGGAGGCUCUGGCAGUAGGACCCGGAAGGUGUGCCCAGCCCCAGCCCCAGGCCGUGAACUCACAUCCGUC